This 299-nucleotide ribosomal RNA is filed under the name uncultured bacterium. RNAcentral describes it as "partial 16S ribosomal RNA". It matches the Rfam family "Bacterial small subunit ribosomal RNA", at positions 335 to 651 of the family's 1533-position model. The record is from RNAcentral.
GCCCUACGGGGCGCAGCAGUGGGGAAUAUUGCACAAUGGGGGAAACCCUGAUGCAGCGACGCCGCGUGAGUGAAGAAGUAUUUCGGUAUGUAAAGCUCUAUCAGCAGGGGAGAAGAAGGACGGUACCUGAGUAAGAAGCCCCGGCUAACUACGUGCCAGCAGCCGCGGUAAUACGUAGGGAGCAAGCGUUAUCCGGAUUUACUGGGUGUAAAGGGAGCGUAGACGGCAGCGCAAGUCUGGAGUGAAAUGCCGGGGCCCAACCCCGGAACUGCUUUGGAAACUGUGCGGCUCGAGUGCGG